Molecule: ribosomal RNA, 468 nt
Filed under: uncultured bacterium
Lineage: Bacteria
Description: partial 16S ribosomal RNA
Rfam family: Bacterial small subunit ribosomal RNA
Source: RNAcentral
GACGAACGCUGGCGGCGUGCUUAACACAUGCAAGUCGAACGGAAAGGCCCUGCUUUUGUGGGGUGCUCGAGUGGCGAACGGGUGAGUAACACGUGAGUAACCUGCCCUUUACUUUGGGAUAACUUCAGGAAACUGGGGCUAAUACCGGAUAGGAGCUCCUGCUGCAUGGUGGGGGUUGGAAAGUUUCGGCGGUUGGGGACGGACUCGCGGCUUAUCAGCUUGUUGGUGGGGUAGUGGCUUACCAAGGCUUUGACGGGUAGCCGGCCUGAGAGGGUGACCGGCCACAUUGGGACUGAGAUACGGCCCAGACUCCUACGGGAGGCAGCAGUGGGGAAUAUUGAACAAUGGGCGGAAGCCUGAUGCAGCAACGCCGCGUGCGGGAUGACGGCCUUCGGGUUGUAAACCGCUUUCGCCUGUGACGAAGCGUGAGUGACGGUAAUGGGUAAAGAAGCACCGGCUAACUACGUG